UUCCCCAAGAUUUAUAACUUUAAAGAUAAAGGAACAUAAUUAAAAUUGAAUAUAGGCUAAAGUAAAAUUUCUGAUCAAGCUUAAACAUGAAUUUUCUGUCUCAGGUGCUAAUUAUUUGAAAAAUAUGCUCAGAUAUCCUCAGAUAAUAAUAUGACAUGAGCUAAACAGUAACAGAGCAUGGUGCAUAUUGAGAAUUAUAGUUAGGCAGAUAAGUUGAUCUUCAUGAACUCCAGUCCAGGCUUCUCUUUAACCCAACAUGGGGUAGACUCCUGAUCAAAUAAUAGUUGCUACAAAAUUGGUAUCUAGUUUUCCAUCCAUUUUCAUGGGAGAUUUUUUUUUCUAUUCUCCUGGUGAUGUCAUAGGAGUUUGAUUAUGUCAGAAAUGUCACCAACACCUGGUUUUCAGGCCACAUACUUAGAUGCUGUUAUUCCAAGUGUUUUAUGGGCAUGGGUCAUCUAAUUGGACUGGAAUGCGUUAGUGAGCUUUAUGUUGAGCAGUUUCUAGAAAAACAGGAAGCAGAUAAGGUUUCUAGAAGCUCUCUGAGAACAUUGUAAACCAUUAUCCUAAAAUACCUUUAUGAUGGGAGAAAUAUGCCUUAAACUACUCUGCAUAGCAUGUCUUCCUUAGAUGAUCAAAUUAAGCUGGUCUUCAAACAAACAUGUGGGUAAUACUCUAGGUCACUGGACUGUACCACAAGGAAGGAAAAGAAAAAUGGAAAUUUCCUUCAUUAUCAGUGUAAUGUUUACAAAUAUAUAGAUAUUUUCCUGGAUCAACCAGGUUUGUACUACUAAAAGGACAACAGGAUUUUAUAAGCCAUGGACAGCCUAGUCUCUAUCUUCCUAUUUGCAUACUUCAUCCUCAGAAAUCACAGAUGGCUCACAGUUGUUUUAAAGAGAAGUACUUAUGAGACGAGCAGCAAUUAGCCAGAGACUGAGAUUAGACAGCACAAUGGAUCGUCAUGUGUUGACAUUCAGCUUUCUGCUAAUUAGUGCCACAGUGUCCAAGGGAGAAAUUGUGCUCACUCAGUCUCUAGCAUCCAUGGCUGCAUCUCAAGAGGAGAAGGUCACCAUGACCUGCAGGGCCAGCUCAAGUAUAGCCCCCAGUCACUUGCACUGGUAUCAGCAGAAAUCUGGAAGCUCCCCUACACUCCUAGUUUAUGGCACAUCCAAACUGGCUUCUGGAGUCCCAGCUGGCUUCUGUGGCAGUGGGUCUGGGACCUAUUACUCUCUCGCAAUCAGCAACUUUGAAGCUGAAGAUGUGGCCACUUAUUUCUCUCAACAGAGGCAUAGUAGCCCACCCACACAGUGAUAGAGUCUUGAACAAAAACUCUAUGCCUACCUGGAGCACAGAUACUUCCUCCUAGAGAUGAAAUAGGGCCUUAUGUUUUAUUGCAGUAAUCCAUAAAAUAAAUGGUAAUUUACAGAUUACUUACUAGGCCAUUUGCAGCUUUUGGUAAAUUAGUGUCUCCAUAAUACCCUGCUGUACUUCACUGUUGCUCUUGUUUGGCCACCAUUUGUUUAUUCUCUCUUUUGGUUCUAUUUUUGUUUCAAUGAUUUGUUGAUGGGAAAUGUAGCAGGCAUUUCUCUUCAGCUGUUUUACAUGAGAUCUCAUAGCAGUCUUCACACUUGGCUUAUUCUAAUUACACUGAUUGCAGGAUCUUUUCUGGCAGGUUGUUCUCCUUCAAGAUAGUCAGUUCCUAAAAGUAAACUGCCUUUGUUAUCCUUCUAAAAAUAGUAUCUAUCCUCUUCUGACUUCUAAUUUUCAUUAGCAGACCUUCUGUCCCACUUAUGGUAUCCUGUUGAUUUAUGCUUGAAAUGAUUAUUUCUCCAAAAAUUGAUUUAUGACUUACACUUCAGGCAAAAAUAGGAAUAAAAAAAAAUUGGUUCCCUGUUUUUGCUUCGAAUGAAGAUGCCAAUGAAUUCUCAGGGCUUUUCCUCCUGUUACCCAUAUGUCUCAAAGAUCUGUCUUUGAGGAAGAUUGGUAUUUAAAAUACAAGUACUUCAUUUGAAAUCAUUGUAUGUAAAUAUUUGUGUGAUAAAUAAAUUCUGUAUUUAUAGUAACUUAUUCAUAUUUAUUGAAUUUCUAACUUAACACAAUGUGGUAGUAA
Molecule: non-coding RNA, 2107 nt
Organism: Chionomys nivalis (European snow vole)
Lineage: Eukaryota; Metazoa; Chordata; Mammalia; Rodentia; Cricetidae
Source: the annotation of a RefSeq genome assembly